Molecule: long non-coding RNA, 721 nt
Organism: Alosa alosa (allis shad)
Lineage: Eukaryota; Metazoa; Chordata; Actinopteri; Clupeiformes; Clupeidae
Exons: 4
Source: RefSeq, a predicted model, not a curated record
GUCCAGCAAGUCAAGAGACAAGCAGGAGCAGGAAAGCGACAGGACGAGGGAAUAAAAUACAAUUUUGGCCAAAAAAAAAAAAAAGACAAGAGGUAAAAAAAAACAACUUUUGGCAUGGACUUCAAACGCGCAGCGAGAGGAGUGGAGAUGAGCGGAGAGCGUGAUUCACGGCCACGUCGGGGCCCUCCCGCCGGCAUUGGAGCUACAGUCUGCACAGCCGGCAGGUUCUUACUGGUGGCUCCGUUCACAAAGCUGGACGAGGUGGAGGAGUUGGUGGAAGAGGAGGCCGCUUCCGUCGGACCUGAGGAACACAGACACACAGAAUGGCGGUGGCCGUGUGCUGGUGAAGGUGUGUGAGCUCUUAAUGGCCUUUGGAUUGACUGGGGCCUUUCACAGAGGGAGCGGGAGAGGGAGAGACAGACAGACAGACAGACAGACAGCCUCCAGCCACCUCAGGGCGCUGGCCUUCAGCGGAUGAGAGUGGCCAGACAGAGCGGCCCAGAGACCCGGCAGCAGCAGACAGCAGGACCAAAAAGAAGGACGACGCCGGCAGCGGCAGCGGUGGUGGUGGUGGCGGCAAGCUAGUGCGGACGACAGCAUGGGCCUUUAGGGAAAAGUAAACAUCCUGCCCAGGGUGACUGAGCGCCACGCUCCCCGCCAGAGCAAACAAAUCCAGGGCUCAGACAUCAAGUGCGUGUGUGUGUGUGUGUGUGUGUGUGUG